UGAGUGACGCGUGAAUCAUCGAAUCUUUGAACGCAUCUUGCACUUUUCAGGUCUCCUGAAAAGUAUACUUGUUUGAGAAUCAUGUACGCAAAAAAUACUCCUCUUCUAAAGAGGGGAGUGAAUUGGGGCGUCACGAUGGCGACUCGCCUGUCAUGUGCCUUUUAAUUAAUGAGUCGGCAAUUCAUCCUGAAUGAAGCCUUGCACAACAAAAUGUGAGAUAUAUGUCGCACAAAGUAAUUGAGCAAGGUCAAUGUCGGCGCACCCAGGGGCAGAGGCGGCAUCAUCAGCAACAACUUACUUUGCUUGCUGUUGUUGGCCCGCCAUCGCCCCCACCACCCUUUGAGUGAUCUCAAAUCAAGUAAGGUUACCCGCUGAACUUAAGCAUAUCAAUAAGCGGAGG
RNAcentral lists this ribosomal RNA (400 nucleotides) under Diptera environmental sample. RNAcentral describes it as "eukaryotic LSU rRNA". The stretch from base 345 to 400 matches the Rfam family "Eukaryotic large subunit ribosomal RNA", at positions 1 to 56 of the family's 3401-position model. The record is from RNAcentral. Lineage: Eukaryota; Metazoa; Arthropoda; Insecta; Diptera.